AAUGAGACAGGCAGUGGCUUUUACUUUAUCCUUUACAUUUCUAGGAUUAUCUGAAAAAUUACAUGAGCAUAUUUUUAAUAAUCAGAUGGGAAAAUAAAGAUAGUAAAAGAUGAGAAAGAAAAGCAUUAAAAAGUAUAUCCUGAGUACCUCAAAGGUAUGUAGUAGCUUGAAAUCACAUAACUGGUAAGAAUGUGUUUUUGAAGUUGUGUAGAAUCAUAAAAUACAAUGUAGUCCAUUUUUCAAAGUCCUCAGUCUCCCCUCCUCAGAAUUAAUAGGAACAUCUUUAGGUAUGUUUAGUUUUAGAAUUUCAUGUUAUAG
RNAcentral lists this long non-coding RNA (318 nucleotides) under Bos taurus (domestic cattle). RNAcentral describes it as "long non-coding RNA NONBTAT023949". Lineage: Eukaryota; Metazoa; Chordata; Mammalia; Artiodactyla; Bovidae. The record is from RNAcentral.